RNAcentral lists this ribosomal RNA (490 nucleotides) under uncultured bacterium. RNAcentral describes it as "partial 16S ribosomal RNA". It matches the Rfam family "Bacterial small subunit ribosomal RNA", at positions 30 to 507 of the family's 1533-position model. The record is from RNAcentral.
AUUGAACGCUGGCGGCAGGCCUAACACAUGCAAGUCGAACGGUAGCAGGAAGAAGCUUGCUUCUUCGCUGACGAGUGGCGGACGGGUGAGUAAUGUCUGGGAAACUGCCUGAUGGAGGGGGAUAACUACUGGAAACGGUAGCUAAUACCGCAUAACGUCGCAAGACCAAAGAGGGGGACCUUCGGGCCUCUUGCCAUCGGAUGUGCCCAGAUGGGAUUAGCUUGUUGGUGGGGUAACGGCUCACCAAGGCGACGAUCCCUAGCUGGUCUGAGAGGAUGACCAGCCACACUGGAACUGAGACACGGUCCAGACUCCUACGGGAGGCAGCAGUGGGGAAUAUUGCACAAAGGGCGCAAGCCUGAUGCAGCCAUGCCGCGUGUAUGAAGAAGGCCUUCGGGUUGUAAAGUACUUUCAGCGGGGAGGAAGGGAGUAAAGUUAAUACCUUUGCUCAUUGACGUUACCCGCAGAAGAAGCACCGGCUAACUCCGUG